GAUGAACGCUGGCGGCGUGCCUAAUACAUGCAAGUCGAGCGAACGGACGAGAAGCUUGCUUCUCUGAUGUUAGCGGCGGACGGGUGAGUAAGACGUGGAUAAGCUACCUAUAAGACUGGGAUAACUUCGGGAAACCAGAGAUAAUACCGGAUAAUAUUAUGAACCGCAUGGUUCAAAAGUGAAAGACGCUCUUGCUGUCACUAAUAGAUGGUUCCGCGCUGCAUUAGCUAGUUGGUAAGGUAACGGCUUACCAAGGCAACGAUGCAUAGCCGACCUGAGAGGGUGAUCGGCCACACUGGAACUGAGACACGGUCCAGACUCCUACGGGAGGCAGCAGUAGGGAAUCUUCCGCAAUGGGCGAAAGCCUGACGGAGCAACGCCGCGUGAGUGAUGAAGGUCUUCGGAUCGUAAAACUCUGUUAUUAGGAAAGAACAUAUGUGUAAGUAACUGUGCACAUCUUGACGGUACCUAAUCAGAAAGCCACGGCUAACUACGUG
RNAcentral lists this ribosomal RNA (497 nucleotides) under uncultured bacterium. RNAcentral describes it as "partial 16S ribosomal RNA". It matches the Rfam family "Bacterial small subunit ribosomal RNA", at positions 28 to 507 of the family's 1533-position model. The record is from RNAcentral.